RNAcentral lists this ribosomal RNA (253 nucleotides) under uncultured bacterium. Its description in RNAcentral is "partial 16S ribosomal RNA". It matches the Rfam family "Bacterial small subunit ribosomal RNA", at positions 524 to 776 of the family's 1533-position model. The record is from RNAcentral.
UACGUAGGGCGCAAGCGUUAUCCGGAAUUAUUGGGCGUAAAGAGCUCGUAGGCGGUUUGUCGCGUCUGCCGUGAAAGUCCGGGGCUCAACUCCGGAUCUGCGGUGGGUACGGGCAGACUAGAGUGAUGUAGGGGAGACUGGAAUUCCUGGUGUAGCGGUGAAAUGCGCAGAUAUCGGGAGGAACACCGGUGGCGAAGGCGGUUCUCUGGGCCUUACCUGACGCUGAGGAGCGAAAGCGUGGGGAGCAAACAGG